Molecule: ribosomal RNA, 861 nt
Filed under: uncultured archaeon
Lineage: Archaea
Description: bacterial SSU rRNA
Rfam family: Archaeal small subunit ribosomal RNA
Source: RNAcentral
ACUGCUAUCGGAUUGAUACUAAGCCAUGCGAGUCAUUGUAGUAAUACAAGGCAGACGGCUCAGUAACGCGUAGUCAACCUACCCUAUGGACGGGAAUAACCUCGGGAAACUGAGAAUAAUGCCCGAUAGAACAUUAUGCCUGGAAUGGUUUAUGUUCCAAAUGAUUUAUCGCCGUAGGAUGGGACUGCGUCCUAUCAGUUUGUUGGUGAGGUAAUGGCCCACCAAGACUAUUACAGGUACAGGCUCUGAGAGGUGUGGCCCGGAGAUGGGUACUGAGACACGGACCCAGGCCCUAUGGGGCGCAGCAGGCGAGGAAACUUUGCAAUGUGCGAAAGCACGACAAGGUUAAUCCGAGUGGUUUCUGCUAAAGGAACCUUUUGUCGGUCCUAGAAACACCGAUGAAUAAGGGGUGGGCAAGUUCUGGUGUCAGCCGCCGCGGUAAAACCAGCACCUCAAGUUGUCAGGAUGAUUAUUGGGCCUAAAGCAUCCGUAGCCGGCUCUGUUAGUUUUCGGUUAAAUCUAUACGCUCAACGUAUAGGCUGCCGGGAAUACUGCAGAGCUAGGGAGUGGGAGAGGUAGACGGUACUCGGUAGGAAGGGGUAAAAUCCUUUGAUCUAUUGAUGACCACCUGUGGCGAAGGCGGUCUACCAGAACACGUCCGACGGUGAGGGAUGAAAGCUGGGGGAGCAAACCGGAUUAGAUACCCGGGUAGUCCCAGCUGUAAACUAUGCAAACUCAGUGAUGCAUUGGCUUGUGGCCAAUGCAGUGCUGCAGGGAAGCCGUUAAGUUUGCCGCCUGGGAAGUACGUACGCAAGUAUGAAACUUAAAGGAAUUGGCGGGGGAGCACCACAAGGGGUGAAG